RNAcentral lists this ribosomal RNA (483 nucleotides) under uncultured bacterium. RNAcentral's name for it is "bacterial SSU rRNA". It matches the Rfam family "Bacterial small subunit ribosomal RNA", at positions 28 to 503 of the family's 1533-position model. The record is from RNAcentral.
GAUGAACGCUAGCUACAGGCUUAACACAUGCAAGUCGAGGGGCAGCAUGGUCUUAGCUUGCUAAGGCCGAUGGCGACCGGCGCACGGGUGAGUAACACGUAUCCAACCUGCCGUCUACUCUUGGACAGCCUUCUGAAAGGAAGAUUAAUACAAGAUGGCAUCAUGAGUCCGCAUGUUCACAUGAUUAAAGGUAUUCCGGUAGACGAUGGGGAUGCGUUCCAUUAGAUAGUAGGCGGGGUAACGCCCACCUAGUCUUCGAUGGAUAGGGGUUCUGAGAGGAAGGUCCCCCANAUUGGAACUGAGACACGGUCCAAACUCCUACGGGAGCAGCAGUGAGGAAUAUUGGUCAAUGGACGAGAGUCUGAACCAGCCAAGUAGCGUGCAGGAUGACGGCCCUAUGGUUGUAAACUGCUUUUAUAAGGGAAUAAAGUGAGUCUCGUGAGACUUUUUGCAUGUACCUUAUGAAUAAGGACCGGCUAAAUU